This is a regulatory RNA element of Elstera litoralis, 79 nucleotides long. It matches the Rfam family "chrB-a RNA". Lineage: Bacteria; Pseudomonadati; Pseudomonadota; Alphaproteobacteria; Rhodospirillales; Rhodospirillaceae. The record is from Rfam.
CCUAAGGGGUUCCGCGAGGCCCCGUGAGGCGGCAGGCCGAAAUUCGCGUCCAAACUUUUCUUUUAAGGUGGACGUUAUG